Molecule: unclassified non-coding RNA, 334 nt
Filed under: soil metagenome
Description: partial contains 5.8S ribosomal RNA, internal transcribed spacer 2, and large subunit ribosomal RNA
Rfam family: 5.8S ribosomal RNA (bases 1-120)
Source: RNAcentral
GAUGAAGAACGCAGCGAAAUGCGAUAAGUAAUGUGAAUUGCAGAAUUCAGUGAAUCAUCGAAUCUUUGAACGCACAUUGCGCCCAUUAGCAUUCUAGUGGGCAUGCCUGUUCGAGCGUCAUUUCAACCCUUAAGCCCUGUUGCUUAGCGUUGGGAGCCUACAGUACUGUAGCUCCCCAAAGUUAGUGGCGGAGUCGGUUUCACACUCUAGACGUAGUAAUUUUUUCUCGUCUGUAGUUGAGCCGGUCCCCUGCCGUAAAACACCCAAUUUAUCAAGGUUGACCUCGGAUCAGGUAGGAAUACCCGCUGAACUUAAGCAUAUCAAUAAGCGGAGG